UACGUAGGGCGCAAGCGUUGUCCGGAAUUAUUGGGCGUAAAGAGCUCGUAGGCGGCUUGUCACGUCGGGUGUGAAAGCCCGGGGCUUAACCCCGGGUCUGCAUUCGAUACGGGCUAGCUAGAGUGUGGUAGGGGAGAUCGGAAUUCCUGGUGUAGCGGUGAAAUGCGCAGAUAUCAGGAGGAACACCGGUGGCGAAGGCGGAUCUCUGGACCAUUACUGACGCUGAGGAGCGAAAGCGUGGGGAGCGAACAGG
This 253-nucleotide ribosomal RNA is filed under the name uncultured bacterium. RNAcentral's name for it is "partial 16S ribosomal RNA". It matches the Rfam family "Bacterial small subunit ribosomal RNA", at positions 524 to 776 of the family's 1533-position model. The record is from RNAcentral.